UGCUUACACAUGCAAGUCGAACGGUGAAGCAGAGCUUGCUCUGUGGAUCAGUGGCGAACGGGUGAGUAACACGUGAGCAACCUGCCCCUGACUCUGGGAUAAGCGCUGGAAACGGCGUCUAAUACCGGAUAUGAGCUGCGAUCGCAUGGUCAGCAGUUGGAAAGAUUUUUCGGUCUGGGAUGGGCUCACGGCCUAUCAGCUUGUUGGUGAGGUAAUGGCUCACCAAGGCGUCGACGGGUAGCCGGCCUGAGAGGGUGACCGGCCACACUGGGACUGAGACACGGCCCAGACUCCUACGGGAGGCAGCAGUGGGGAAUAUUGCACAAUGGGCGAAAGCCUGAUGCAGCAACGCCGCGUGAGGGAUGACGGCCUUCGGGUUGUAAACCUCUUUUAGCAGGGAAGAAGCGAAAGUGACGGUACCUGCAGAAAAAGCGCCGGCUAACUACGUGCCAGCAGCCGCGGUAAUACGUAGGGCGCAAGCGUUAUCCGGAAUUAUUGGGCGUAAAGAGCUCGUAGGCGGUUUGUCGCGUCUGCUGUGAAAUCCCGAGGCUCAACCUCGGGUCUGCAGUGGGUACGGGCAGACUAGAGUGCGGUAGGGGAGAUUGGAAUUCCUGGUGUAGCGGUGGAAUGCGCAGAUAUCAGGAGGAACACCGAUGGCGAAGGCAGAUCUCUGGGCCGUUACUGACGCUGAGGAGCGAAAGGGUGGGGAGCAAACAGGCUUAGAUACCCUGGUAGUCCACCCCGUAAACGUUGGGAACUAGUUGUGGGGUCCAUUCCACGGAUUCCGUGACGCAGCUAACGCAUUAAGUUCCCCGCCUGGGGAGUACGGCCGCAAGGCUAAAACUCAAAGGAAUUGACGGGGACCCGCACAAGCGGCGGAGCAUGCGGAUUAAUUCGAUGCAACGCGAAGAACCUUACCAAGGCUUGACAUAUACGAGAACGGGCCAGAAAUGGUCAACUCUUUGGACACUCGUAAACAGGUGGUGCAUGGUUGUCGUCAGCUCGUGUCGUGAGAUGUUGGGUUAAGUCCCGCA
RNAcentral lists this ribosomal RNA (1034 nucleotides) under Microbacterium oleivorans. RNAcentral's name for it is "bacterial SSU rRNA". It matches the Rfam family "Bacterial small subunit ribosomal RNA", at positions 45 to 1091 of the family's 1533-position model. The record is from RNAcentral. Lineage: Bacteria; Bacillati; Actinomycetota; Actinomycetes; Micrococcales; Microbacteriaceae.